GCUUGUCUCAAAGAUUAAGCCAUGCAUGUCUAAGUAUAAACGACUUUAUACUGUGAAACUGCGAAUGGCUCAUUAUAUCAGUUAUAGUUUAUUUGAUGGUCCUUGCUACUUGGAUAACCGUAGUAAUUCUAGAGCUAAUACAUGCAUCAAGCCCCGACUUCUGGAAGGGGUGUAUUUAUUAGAUGGAAACCAAUGCGGGGCAACCCGGUAUAUGGUGAUUCAUAAUAACUUUCGGAUCGCAUAGCUUCACGCUGGCGAUAGUUCAUUCAAAUUUCUGCCCUAUCAGCUUUCGACGGUAGUGUAGUGGACUACCGUGGCGUUAACGGGUGACGGAGAAUUAGGGUUCGAUUCCGGAGAGGGAGCCUGAGAAACGGCUACCACAUCCAAGGAAGGCAGCAGG
RNAcentral lists this ribosomal RNA (400 nucleotides) under uncultured Chrysophyceae. Its description in RNAcentral is "partial small subunit ribosomal RNA". It matches the Rfam family "Eukaryotic small subunit ribosomal RNA", at positions 30 to 432 of the family's 1831-position model. Lineage: Eukaryota; Chrysophyceae. The record is from RNAcentral.